AAUAUGGGGGGACCAUCCUCCAAGGCUAAAUACUCCUGACUGACCGAUAGUGAACCAGUACCGUGAGGGAAAGGCGAAAAGAACCCCGGCGAGGGGAGUGAAAAAGAACCUGAAACCGUGUACGUACAAGCAGUGGGAGCCUCUUUAUGGGGUGACUGCGUACCUUUUGUAUAAUGGGUCAGCGACUUAUAUUCUGUAGCAAGGUUAACCGAAUAGGGGAGCCGAAGGGAAACCGAGUCUUAACUGGGCGUUAAGUUGCAGGGUAUAGACCCGAAACCCGGUGAUCUAGCCAUGGGCAGGUUGAAGGUUGGGUAACACUAACUGGAGGACCGAACCGACUAAUGUUGAAAAAUUAGCGGAUGACUUGUGGCUGGGG
RNAcentral lists this ribosomal RNA (376 nucleotides) under Escherichia coli. Its description in RNAcentral is "partial 23S ribosomal RNA". It matches the Rfam family "Bacterial large subunit ribosomal RNA", at positions 441 to 820 of the family's 2925-position model. The record is from RNAcentral. Lineage: Bacteria; Pseudomonadati; Pseudomonadota; Gammaproteobacteria; Enterobacterales; Enterobacteriaceae.